Molecule: ribosomal RNA, 1057 nt
Filed under: Montagnula chromolaenae
Lineage: Eukaryota; Fungi; Ascomycota; Dothideomycetes; Pleosporales; Didymosphaeriaceae
Description: SSU rRNA
Rfam family: Eukaryotic small subunit ribosomal RNA
Source: RNAcentral
GUCUAAGUAUAAGCAAUUAUACCGUGAAACUGCGAAUGGCUCAUUAAAUGCAGUUAUCGUUUAUUUGAUAGUACCUUACUACUUGGAUAACCGUGGUAAUUCUAGAGCUAAUACAUGCUAAAAACCCCGACUUCGGGAGGGGUGUAUUUAUUAGAUAAAAAACCAAUGCCCUUCGGGGCUCCUUGGUGAUUCAUAAUAACUUCUCAGAUCGCAUAGCCUUGAGCUGGCGACGGUUCAUUCAAAUUUCUGCCCUAUCAACUUUCGAUGGUAAGGUAGUGGCUUACCAUGGUUUCAACGGGUAACGGGGAAUUAGGGUUCGAUUCCGGAGAGGGAGCCUGAGAAACGGCUACCGCAUCCAAGGAAGACAGCAGGCGCGCAAAUUACCCAAUUCCGAUACGGAGAGGUAGUGACAAAAAAUACUGAUACAGGGCUCUUUUGGGUCUUGUAAUUGGAAUGAGUACAAUUUAAACCUCUUAACGAGGAACAAUUGGAGGGCAAGUCUGGUGCCAGCAGCCGCGGUAAUUCCAGCUCCAAUAGCGUAUAUUAAAGUUGUUGCAGUUAAAAAGCUCGUAGUUGAACCUUUGGCCUGGCUGGCAGGUCCGCCUCACCGCGUGCACUUGACCGGCCGGGCCUUUCUUUCCGGGGAACCGCAUGCCCUUCGCUGGGUGUGUUGGGGAUCCGGGACUUUUACUUUGAAAAAAUUAGAGUGUUCAAAGCAGGCCUUUGCUCGAAUACGUUAGCAUGGAAUAAUAGAAUAGGACGUCGCGGUCCUAUUUUGUUGGUUUCUAGGACCGCCGUAAUGAUUAAUAGGGACAGUCGGGGGCAUCAGUAUUCGAUAGUCAGAGGUGAAAUUCUUGGAUUUAUCGAAGACUAACUACUGCGAAAGCAUUUGCCAAGGAUGUUUUCAUUAAUCAGGGAACGAAAGUUAGGGGAUCGAAGACGAUCAGAUACCGUCGUAGUCUUAACCGUAAACUAUGCCGACUAGGGAUCGGGCGGUGUUUCUAAUGUGACCCGCUCGGCACCUUACGAGAAAUCAAAGUGUUUGGGUUCUGGGGGG